UGCUCUCAUCUUCAUAAGCUUCUUUCAUGGCUUCUUCUUCACCAUCUCUUUGCCCUCUUCUUUUCUUCGCAGCCGUUAUACUGGUGGUCUUCGGCACCACUAACAGUGCCACCUUGGAUUGGACUUCCACCACCAUUUCUUCGACCAUGUGUGCCAGUGGGUGGAGGCCCACGACGGGCUCUCUGAUGGUUGGUGGCUUGAGAAGGACUUUAUCGAGUACUAUGCCAUCCUUACCCACCACGACUGCAUCUUCCGUGGUCACGUCCUUGUCGAC
This 274-nucleotide long non-coding RNA is filed under the name Elaeis guineensis (African oil palm). RNAcentral describes it as "long non-coding RNA (EGUI_LNC018782)". Lineage: Eukaryota; Viridiplantae; Streptophyta; Magnoliopsida; Arecales; Arecaceae. The record is from RNAcentral.